GUUAUAGCCAAGUGGUAAGGCACUAGUUUUUGGUACUAGUAUGCGCUGGUUCGAAUCCAGCUAAC
Molecule: transfer RNA, 65 nt
Filed under: Lactobacillus apis
Lineage: Bacteria; Bacillati; Bacillota; Bacilli; Lactobacillales; Lactobacillaceae
Also listed under: 3 other names
Rfam family: tRNA
About the family: Transfer RNA (tRNA) molecules are approximately 80 nucleotides in length. Their secondary structure includes four short double-helical elements and three loops (D, anti-codon, and T loops).
Source: RNAcentral